This is a non-coding RNA of Punica granatum (pomegranate), 2310 nucleotides long. The record is from RefSeq and is a predicted model, not a curated record. Lineage: Eukaryota; Viridiplantae; Streptophyta; Magnoliopsida; Myrtales; Lythraceae.
AUAAAAUGGAAAUCUCGCUGUCGUGUUUUCAUUCUUUCUUGUGUUUUCACUUGUUCCGCUGCCAGCGGUACAACAACCACAGUUGCCUUUCAAUUUCCUUUCACCCCUGCACGUCCCUCUUCCUUCUGUCCGCGAUUUGUUCUCCCAUUCUCUCUCGCCUCUCCCUUCCGCCCCGUGUUCUUCUCUUUGAUGCGCUGUGUUCUCCUCCUGAUCUCGUUCGCUUCCUCCGGUGAGAUCUCAUGAGCAUCGCCAGAGUGAGAGGAUUUCUAGGAGAGACAGCGCUCCAUUUCUUCUGCUGCUUAUGCAUGUUCACAGUCCCACUUCCGAAAUGUGGCCUUUGAUUGCUCACCGCCAGUGGUUCCCAUCACAAGUAGGCUUUUCCCAUCUCUUGCUCGUUAUUCACCAUACAAACUUAUUGGGACCUCUACAACGCCGGACAUCAGGCCCUUCCUUCAAAGAGAAAAUGAUCUCCACCCAUUCCCCGCUAACCUGCUGCCAGCCAUUGUUGACGAGUUCUCCCCCCACCCGUACAUUGCCGAGACAACAGGCAUACACAGUACCCUCCUUGCCUUUUGCCGCUUAAAAACGACAGUACAUUAAUCCCGCCACAUCCAGUAGGGCGUGGGUGAAUCUCCUCACAGGCGGCUAUUAGGUUCCCCCAGUUUGUUCCCUCAUCAGUUUUAACUGCUUUUGCCCCAAUGUUUCUUAUAUUUUCAUAUUCCAUCAUAUUAUUCGACCACAGUUAAUUUAAGUCAUCGCAGCCUGUAGCCUCGACUUUUUGAUCUAGACUGUCAGUGUUCUUGCCACUAAUGUUAUUGUUGGGUGUCGUAUUGACUAGCGCAAUCUGAAAUGCACAUUGAACAUCUCUUUUAGCUGGAAAUGGAUCAUGUUAGACUCACAGUUAUUUCCAAUUCUAUCAAUGUUAGUAUUUAGCUUCUGCUUCUUAAGUGAAACCGGUUUUCCAUGGUCAAGUAUAUUUUCAUCUAUUUCUGCAAGGUUAUGUGUUCAUACAUUUAAUUAUAUUUCAAUUUGCUUUUAUGUUUGCAACAUUAAAUGCUAGAUUUUUUUUUGAAGGGUUGUUUCUAUAGGCAUCUUUUUUUUUUUUAAUGAAUCUUCUUCUUGCAUAGCGGAUAUCGAACUGUUCUUUUGAUCGAGGCAUUGAUGCUUCAUUCUCUUUUCAUAAAUAGUUACCAUCUCAAUUAAUGAUUCAAUCGACUAUCGUAUUCUAAAUUUGUUUACUUUCUAUUUCUUUUAUUUGCCGAGUCGCAAGUCUCUUGUAGAUUCUGUCCUAUAAUUUUUUUGUUAUGAUGUAAAAGUUACUAUGUUUUCUUAUCUUUCCCUAAUGCAAAGGAUUGGAUUAAGAACUAAUACUCUUCUUGAUUGGCCGGAAAAAUGAUCUUCAAUUUCAUAAGCUCUGCAAGACCCCAUUUUCAGGAUGGUGAUCAAUUCCGUUCCCGGUGCUUAGAGGGCCCUCCAGAUUCUUUAAAAUCUCAGAGGACGCGUGAGGAAUAGUCUCAUGUUAUCAAAUCUUUCAUUUAACAUAAAAUGUGGUGGAAAUUGAUAAGACUUUCCCAGUUUAUGUAAUUUGAAAAAAGCUUUGCAGAAUACAACCGACGGACCACAAGAUCUACUUUUCCAUGAGAUCCACUUCGGAGAUCCCUUUGCUCUUGAUGGUCUCUAAAGCCCCAGCUUAGAUAUAUGCAAGUUGAAAUUUAUGAGUGACUUCUUACAUCGAUGAAUUGCUCUAUGAUACUUACCAAAAUUAAAGAACUUUCUGUGUCAAAUUCUCAUGUAACAUCGAAUAAAUCUGAUUAUAUGUUAUUUCACUCUUGGUCACACAUUGUUGUUGCAGUUCUAGCUUGUCUGGGACAGUGAAUGGCUACACUUUACCCAUUCAAUUUCAUCUCUUUAUCAAACCUCCAGGCCAGUUAAGAUUCAGCGAGUAGCCGAAAGUUCACCGGGUAUAUAUCUUCCGUGCCCCCGUCCAUUAGCCGUUUCGCGAUUAUGAUGUUUGUGGCAUCGGAUGGAUGGUAAGGGUCCCAGAAGACAAACUUUGACCGGUCCGGGCAGACUUUAGAAGACGGCCCGCAAGGGAUCAGACCCCCGAACUUACCCGCUGCGUAACAGCACGAUGAGUCUGCACUCUCAAAUCCUGCACAGAAGGUUCAACUUUCUUAUUGGCUUUGCCUUUAAUUUGAAGAACGCCUCUGGUUCUCGGCUUCUGAUUAAGAAUACUUUCCUGUUUUUUGAGAAACAUUUAAUCGAUGAAUUUUACGGUUUUCCUAAUUAAAUAUCGAAUCGAUCACGUCC